AACGAACGCUGGCGGCAUGCCUAACACAUGCAAGUCGAACGAGACCUUCGGGUCUAGUGGCGCACGGGUGCGUAACGCGUGGGAACCUGCCUUUAGGGUCGGAAUAACUCAGAGAAAUUUGAGCUAAUACCGGAUGAUGUCUUCGGACCAAAGAUUUAUCGCCUUUAGAUGGGCCCGCGUUGGAUUAGCUAGUUGGUGGGGUAAAGGCCUACCAAGGCGACGAUCCAUAGCUGGUCUGAGAGGAUGAUCAGCCGCACUGGGACUGAGACACGGCCCAGACUCCUACGGGAGGCAGCAGUGGGGAAUAUUGGAACAUGGGCGAAAGCCUGAUCCAGCAAUGCCGCGUGAGUGAUGAAGGCCUUAGGGUUGUAAAGCUCUUUUACCCGAGAUGAUAAUGACAGUACCGGGAGAAUAAGCUCCGGCUAACUCCGUG
This 433-nucleotide ribosomal RNA is filed under the name uncultured bacterium. RNAcentral describes it as "partial 16S ribosomal RNA". It matches the Rfam family "Bacterial small subunit ribosomal RNA", at positions 29 to 507 of the family's 1533-position model. The record is from RNAcentral.